This 746-nucleotide ribosomal RNA is filed under the name uncultured bacterium. Its description in RNAcentral is "bacterial SSU rRNA". It matches the Rfam family "Bacterial small subunit ribosomal RNA", at positions 8 to 796 of the family's 1533-position model. The record is from RNAcentral.
AGAGUUUGAUCCUGGCUCAGGAUGAACGCUGGCGGUCUGCUUAACACAUGCAAGUCGAACGGAACUUUUCGGAGUUCAGUGGCGGACGGGUGAGUAACGCGUGAGAAUCUGCCUUCUGGUCGGGGACAACCACUGGAAACGGUGGCUAAUACCGGAUGAGCCUACGGGUAAAAGAUUUAUUGCCAGAAGAGGAGCUCGCGUCUGAUUAGCUAGUUGGUGAGGUAAAGGCUCACCAAGGCAUCGAUCAGUAGCUGGUCUGAGAGGAUGACCAGCCACACUGGGACUGAGACACGGCCCAGACUCCUACGGGAGGCAGCAGUGGGGAAUUUUCCGCAAUGGGCGAAAGCCUGACGGAGCAAGACCGCGUGAGGGAGGAAGGCUCUUGGGUUGUAAACCUCUUUUCUUGGGGAAGAAAAAAAUGACGGUACCCAAGGAAUCAGCAUCGGCUAACUCCGUGCCAGCAGCCGCGGUAAUACGGAGGAUGCAAGCGUUAUCCGGAAUUAUUGGGCGUAAAGCGUCCGCAGGUGGCACUUCAAGUCUGCUGUCAAAGGUCGGGGCUUAACCCCGGGAAGGCAGUGGAAACUGAAGCGCUAGAGUGUCGUAGGGGUAGAGGGAAUUCCCGGUGUAGCGGUGAAAUGCGUAGAGAUCGGGAAGAACAUCGGUGGCGAAAGCGCUCUACUGGACGACAACUGACACUCAGGGACGAAAGCUAGGGGAGCGAAUGGGAUUAGAUACCCUAGUAGUCC